AAUGACGGGCCCGCACAAGCAGCGGAGCGUGUGGUUUAAUUCGAUGUUACACGAAGAACCUUACCAGGGUUUGACAUGCAAGUGGUAGGAAGCCGAAAGGUGACCGACCCUUCGGGGAGCUUGCACAGGUGCUGCAUGGCUGUCGUCAGCUCGUGUCGUGAGAUGUUCGGUUAAGUCCGCUAACGAGCGCAACCCUCGCUGUGUGUUAUAUGUGUCACACGGGACUGCCGGUCUUAAGCCGGAGGAAGGUGGGGAUGAUGUCAAGUCAGCAUGGCCUCUAUAUCCUGGGCUACACACACGCUACAAUGGUCGGUACAAUAGGUUGCCAAGCCGCGAGGCGGAGCCAAUCCACAAAGCCGGCCUCAGUUCAGAUUGUAGGCUGCAACUCGCCUGCAUGAAGAUGGAGUUGCUAGUAACCGCAGGUCAGCAAUACUGCGGUGAAUACGUUCCCGGGGCUU
RNAcentral lists this ribosomal RNA (458 nucleotides) under uncultured Anaerolineaceae bacterium. RNAcentral describes it as "bacterial SSU rRNA". It matches the Rfam family "Bacterial small subunit ribosomal RNA", at positions 917 to 1381 of the family's 1533-position model. Lineage: Bacteria; Bacillati; Chloroflexota; Anaerolineae; Anaerolineales; Anaerolineaceae. The record is from RNAcentral.